This 432-nucleotide ribosomal RNA is filed under the name uncultured bacterium. RNAcentral's name for it is "partial 16S ribosomal RNA". It matches the Rfam family "Bacterial small subunit ribosomal RNA", at positions 29 to 506 of the family's 1533-position model. The record is from RNAcentral.
AACGAACGCUGGCGGCAUGCCUAACACAUGCAAGUCGAACGAGACCUUCGGGUCUAGUGGCGCACGGGUGCGUAACGCGUGGGAACCUGCCCUUAGGUUCGGAAUAACUCCCCGAAAGGGGUGCUAAUACCGGAUAAUGUCUUCGGACCAAAGAUUUAUCGCCUUUGGCUGGGCCCGCGUUGGAUUAGCUAGUUGGUAGGGUAAAAGCCUACCAAGGCGACGAUCCAUAGCUGGUCUGAGAGGAUGAUCAGCCACACUGGGACUGAGACACGGCCCAGACUCCGACGGGAGGCAGCAGUGGGGAAUAUUGGACAAUGGGCGAAAGCCUGAUCCAGCAAUGCCGCGGGAGUGAUGAAGGCCUUAGGGUUGUAAAGCUCUUUUACCCGGGAUGAUAAUGACAGUACCGGGAGAAUAAGCUCCGGCUAAAUCCGG